CCUACGGGUGGCAGCAGUGGGGAAUCUUGCACAAUGGGCGAAAGCCUGAUGCAGCAACGCCGCGUGAGCGAAGAAGGCCUUUGGGUCGUAAAGCUCUGUCCUAAGGGAAGAAGGAAGUGACGGUACCUUAGGAUGAAGCCCCGACUAACUACGUGCCAGCAGCCGCGGUAAAAAGUAGGGGGCAAGCGUUAUCCGGAAUUAUUGGGCGUAAAGAGUACGUAGGCGGUUCUUUAAGCGUAGGGUCAAAGGUGAUGGCUUAACCAUAGUUCGCCCUGUGAACUGGAGGACUUGAGGAUCGGAGCAGAAAGCGGGAUUCCUAGUGGAGCGGUGAAAUGGGUAGAUAUUAGGAGGAAAACCAGUGGCGGAGGCGGCUUUCUGGACGAAAACUGACGCGGAGGUACGAAAGCGUGGGGAGCAAACAGGAUUAGAUACCCUAGUAGUC
Molecule: ribosomal RNA, 442 nt
Filed under: uncultured bacterium
Lineage: Bacteria
Description: partial 16S ribosomal RNA
Rfam family: Bacterial small subunit ribosomal RNA
Source: RNAcentral